CGAUGAUUAGCGGCGCGAAUCGCCCUUCUUNGNCCUCUGUGUGCCAAGGUACUCCUACGGGAGGCAGCAGUGGGGAAUUUUCCGCAAUGGGCGCAAGCCUGACGGAGCAACGCCGCGUGAGGGAUGAAGGCCUCUGGGCUGUAAACCUCUUUUCUCAAGGAAGAAGACAUGACGGUACUUGAGGAAUAAGCCACGGCUAAUUCCGUGCCAGCAGCCGCGGUAAUACGGGAGUGGCAAGCGUUAUCCGGAAUUAUUGGGCGUAAAGCGUCCGCAGGCGGUCCUACAAGUCUGCCGUUAAAAAGUGGAGCUCAACUCCAUCACGGCGGUGGAAACUGUAGGACUGGAGUGUGGUAGGGGCAGAGGGAAUUCCCGGUGUAGCGGUGAAAUGCGUAGAUAUCGGGAAGAACACCAGUGGCGAAAGCGCUCUGCUGGGCCAUAACUGACGCUCAUGGACGAAAGCCAGGGGAGCGAAAGGGAUUAGAUACCCCUGUAGUCCUGGCCGUAAACGAUGAACACUAGGUGUCGGGGGAAUCGACCCCCUCGGUGUCGUAGCCAACGCGUUAAGUGUUCCGCCUGGGGAGUACGCACGCAAGUGUGAAACUCAAAGGAAUUGACGGGGGCCCGCACAAGCGGUGGAGUAUGUGGUUUAAUUCGAUGCAACGCGAAGAACCUUACCAGGGCUUGACAUCCUGCGAACCUCUGGGAAACCGGAGGGUGCCUUCGGGAGCGCAGAGACAGGUGGUGCAUGGCUGUCGUCAGCUCGUGUCGUGAGAUGUUGGGUUAAGUCCCGCAACGAGCGCAACCCACGUCUUUAGUUGCCAGCAUUUAGUUGGGCACUCUAGAGAGACCGCCGGUGACAAACCGGAGGAAGGUGUGGAUGACGUCAAGUCAUCAUGCCCCUUACGUCUUGGGCUACACACGUACUACAAUGCUACGGACAAAGGGCAGCUACACAGCGAUGUGAUGCGAAUCUCAUAAACCGUAGCUCAGUUCAGAUCGAAGGCUGCAACUCGCCUUCGUGAAGGAGGAAUCGCUAGUAAUUGCAGGUCAGCAUACUGCAGUGAAUUCGUUCCCGAGCCUUGUACACACCGCCCGUCACACCAUGGAAGUUGGUCACGCCCGAAGUCGUUACCCCAACCUAUUGGAGGGGGAUGCCUAAGGUAGGACUGAUGACUGGGGUGAAGUCGUAACAAGGUAGCCGUACCGGAAGGUGUGGCUGGAUCACCUCCUUUUAGGGAGACCUAAUCCAUUUAGAAAUCGAAAGCAGUGGAAAUUGUGGGUAGAAACUAAAUUGGUCUAACCUAGGUCGUUCGAGAUUGGUAGAUAUCUUUCAAAGUAUUAUUCGGCUUCGUUCAAAGCCAUAUAUAAUAAAUGGAAAAAAGACAGCAACUGAAACUAUAACAAUAGUUUUUGACUGCUGGAUGAAAUUCCAGCCAGAACCUUGAAAACUGCAUAAGAGAACGAGAAAAAGCAGGCAGACACAGACAUUUAAAUGGAUGUGAAAGCAAAGAAAAAUUGUGGUCAAGCUAAUAAGGGCUAAUGGUGGAUACCUWGGCACACAGAGGCGADG
Molecule: unclassified non-coding RNA, 1570 nt
Filed under: uncultured Synechococcus sp.
Lineage: Bacteria; Bacillati; Cyanobacteriota; Cyanophyceae; Synechococcales; Synechococcaceae
Description: partial contains 16S ribosomal RNA, 16S-23S ribosomal RNA intergenic spacer, and 23S ribosomal RNA
Rfam family: Bacterial small subunit ribosomal RNA (bases 1-1232)
Source: RNAcentral